This 718-nucleotide ribosomal RNA is filed under the name uncultured fungus. Its description in RNAcentral is "SSU rRNA". It matches the Rfam family "Eukaryotic small subunit ribosomal RNA", at positions 384 to 1103 of the family's 1831-position model. The record is from RNAcentral. Lineage: Eukaryota; Fungi.
CGGAGAGGGAGCCUGAGAAACGGCUACCACAUCCAAGGAUGGCAGCAGGCGCGCAAAUUACCCAAUCCCGACACGGGGAGGUAGUGACAAUAAAUAACAAUACGGGGUUCUUUAGGAUCUCGUAAUUGGAAUGAGUACAAUUUAAAUCUCUUAACGAGGAACAAUUGGAGGGCAAGUCUGGUGCCAGCAGCCGCGGUAAUUCCAGCUCCAAUAGCGUAUAUUAAAGUUGUUGCAGUUAAAAAGCUCGUAGUUGAAUUUCGGGGUUAGUAGGUUGGUCAUGCCUCUGGUAUGUACUGGUCUCACUGAUUCCUCCUUCCUUAUGAACCGUAAUGCCAUUAAUUUGGUGUUGCGGGGAAUUUGGACUGUUACUUUGAAAAAAUUAGAGUGUUUAAAGCAAGCUAACGCUUGAAUACAUUAGCAUGGAAUAAUGAAAUAGGACGUUCGAUCUUAUUUUGUUGGUUUCUAGGAUUGACGUAAUGAUUAAUAGGGAUAGUUGGGGGCAUUAGUAUUCAAUUGUCAGAGGUGAAAUUCUUGGAUUUAUUGAAGACUAACUACUGCGAAAGCAUUUGCCAAGGAUGUUUUCAUUAAUCAAGAACGAAAGUUAGGGGAUCGAAGACGAUCAGAUACCGUCGUAGUCUUAACCAUAAACUAUGCCGACUAGGGAUCGGAUGAUGUUAAUUUUUUAAUGACUCAUUCGGCGCCUUACGGGAAACCAAAG